GUCUGUACGAUUACGCGUAAUCGCUCUGUAUUCUGGACAGCUUGAGAAGGAGUUGACGAACUCGGACUUCUCCCCUGCCACCCUGGGAGACGUCCCAGGGGC
This 102-nucleotide small RNA is filed under the name Marmota monax (woodchuck). It matches the Rfam family "Gammaretrovirus core encapsidation signal". Lineage: Eukaryota; Metazoa; Chordata; Mammalia; Rodentia; Sciuridae. The record is from RNAcentral.